Molecule: unclassified non-coding RNA, 341 nt
Filed under: soil metagenome
Description: partial contains 5.8S ribosomal RNA, internal transcribed spacer 2, and large subunit ribosomal RNA
Rfam family: 5.8S ribosomal RNA (bases 1-120)
Source: RNAcentral
GAUGAAGAACGCAGCGAAAUGCGAUAAGUAGUGUGAAUUGCAGAAUUCAGUGAAUCAUCGAAUCUUUGAACGAACAUUGCGCCCUUUGGUAUUCCAAAGGGCAUGCCUGUUCGAGCGUCAUUUGUACCCUCAAGCUUUGCUUGGUGUUGGGCGUCUUGUCUCUAGCUUUGCUGGAGACUCGCCUUAAAGUAAUUGGCAGCCGGCCUACUGGUUUCGGAGCGCAGCACAAGUCGCACUCUCUAUCAGCAAAGGUCUAGCAUCCAUUAAGCCUUUUUUUCAACUUUUGACCUCGGAUCAGGUAGGGAUACCCGCUGAACUUAAGCAUAUCAAUAAGCGGAGGA